This 453-nucleotide ribosomal RNA is filed under the name uncultured Lachnospiraceae bacterium. RNAcentral describes it as "bacterial SSU rRNA". It matches the Rfam family "Bacterial small subunit ribosomal RNA", at positions 927 to 1382 of the family's 1533-position model. The record is from RNAcentral. Lineage: Bacteria; Bacillati; Bacillota; Clostridia; Lachnospirales; Lachnospiraceae.
AAGCGGUGGAGCAUGUGGUUUAAUUCGAAGCAACGCGAAGAACUUACCAGGUCUUGACAUCCCUCUGACCGGUACUUAAUGGUACUUUCUCUUCGGAGCAGGGGAGACAGGUGGUGCAUGGUUGUCGUCAGCUCGUGUCGUGAGAUGUUGGGUUAAGUCCCGCAACGAGCGCAACCCUUAUCUUUAGUAGCCAGCAGUUCGGCUGGGCACUCUAGAGAGACUGCCGGGGAUAACCCGGAGGAAGUGGGGAUGACGUCAAAUCAUCAUGCCCCUUAUGAUUUGGGCUACACACGUGCUACAAUGGCGUAAACAAAGAGACGCAACCCUGUGAAGGCAAGCAAAUCUCAAAAAUAACGUCUCAGUUCGGAUUGUAGUCUGCAACUCGACUACAUGAAGCUGGAAUCGCUAGUAAUCGCGAAUCAGAAUGUCGCGGUGAAUACGUUCCCGGGUCUU